CGUGGGUAACCUGCCCAAGAGACUGGGAUAACACCGGGAAACAGAUGCUAAUACCGGAUAACAACACUAGACGCAUGUCUAGAGUUUAAAAGAUGGUUCUGCUAUCACUCUUGGAUGGACCUGCGGUGCAUUAGCUAGUUGGUAAGGUAACGGCUUACCAAGGCAAUGAUGCAUAGCCGAGUUGAGAGACUGAUCGGCCACAUUGGGACUGAGACACGGCCCAAACUCCUACGGGAGGCAGCAG
RNAcentral lists this ribosomal RNA (244 nucleotides) under uncultured bacterium. Its description in RNAcentral is "partial 16S ribosomal RNA". It matches the Rfam family "Bacterial small subunit ribosomal RNA", at positions 116 to 354 of the family's 1533-position model. The record is from RNAcentral.